This 384-nucleotide long non-coding RNA is filed under the name Malus domestica (apple). Its description in RNAcentral is "long non-coding RNA (MDOM_LNC013989)". Lineage: Eukaryota; Viridiplantae; Streptophyta; Magnoliopsida; Rosales; Rosaceae. The record is from RNAcentral.
CCCUGGAUAAACACUAUCAACAUAACAUUUGUCCCCUCUAGGCAUAGCAAACUCUAAAUCAAAUCCUAGAGGUGUAGGAUGAGGUUGUGUCAUUUGAGCAAAUGUAUGAGAAAUCACAGAAUGUGUAGCACCACAAUCAAUCAAAACUCUAGCAAAGUGACCAAGGGUAUUUAACGUACCCAUAAUCAAGUCCGGCUGGUUCUGAGCAUCUUGCAGUGAGAUGUGAUUAACACGUCCAUGAGCUUGCUGUCGUCCUCCACGACCUCUAUUACCUUGAUUACCUCGCCCCUGAGAAGUACAUCCCUGUCCUGUCUGGCUAGACUGCCUAGACGGUCAUGCACUGCUAGCAGCAACCUCUCCCUGUCGGGGCUGACCUCCUUGAUA